This 1581-nucleotide ribosomal RNA is filed under the name Enterobacter cloacae complex sp. P44RS. RNAcentral's name for it is "partial 23S ribosomal RNA". It matches the Rfam family "Bacterial large subunit ribosomal RNA", at positions 146 to 1767 of the family's 2925-position model. The record is from RNAcentral. Lineage: Bacteria; Pseudomonadati; Pseudomonadota; Gammaproteobacteria; Enterobacterales; Enterobacteriaceae.
CACUAUCGUUAACUGAAUACAUAGGUUAACGAGGCGAACCGGGGGAACUGAAACAUCUAAGUACCCCGAGGAAAAGAAAUCAACCGAGAUUCCCCCAGUAGCGGCGAGCGAACGGGGAGCAGCCCGGAGUCUGAAUCAGCUUGUGUGUUAGUGGAAGCGUCUGGAAAGUCGCACGGUACAGGGUGACAGUCCCGUACACGAAAAUGCACAGGUUGUGAACUCGAAGAGUAGGGCGGGACACGUGGUAUCCUGUCUGAAUAUGGGGGGACCAUCCUCCAAGGCUAAAUACUCCUGACUGACCGAUAGUGAACCAGUACCGUGAGGGAAAGGCGAAAAGAACCCCGGCGAGGGGAGUGAAAAAGAACCUGAAACCGUGUACGUACAAGCAGUGGGAGCACCUUCGGGUGUGACUGCGUACCUUUUGUAUAAUGGGUCAGCGACUUAUAUUCUGUAGCAAGGUUAACCGUAUAGGGGAGCCGCAGGGAAACCGAGUCUUAACUGGGCGUUAAGUUGCAGGGUAUAGACCCGAAACCCGGUGAUCUAGCCAUGGGCAGGUUGAAGGUUGGGUAACACUAACUGGAGGACCGAACCGACUAAUGUUGAAAAAUUAGCGGAUGACCUGUGGCUGGGGGUGAAAGGCCAAUCAAACCGGGAGAUAGCUGGUUCUCCCCGAAAGCUAUUUAGGUAGCGCCUCGUGAACUCAUCUUCGGGGGUAGAGCACUGUUUCGGCUAGGGGGCCAUCCCGGCUUACCAACCCGAUGCAAACUACGAAUACCGAAGAAUGUUAUCACGGGAGACACACGGCGGGUGCUAACGUCCGUCGUGAAGAGGGAAACAACCCAGACCGCCAGCUAAGGUCCCAAAGUCAUGGUUAAGUGGGAAACGAUGUGGGAAGGCACAGACAGCCAGGAUGUUGGCUUAGAAGCAGCCAUCAUUUAAAGAAAGCGUAAUAGCUCACUGGUCGAGUCGGCCUGCGCGGAAGAUGUAACGGGGCUAAACCAUGCACCGAAGCUGCGGCAGCGACGCUUAUGUGUUGUUGGGUAGGGGAGCGUUCUGUAAGCCGUUGAAGGUGUGCUGUGAGGCAUGCUGGAGGUAUCAGAAGUGCGAAUGCUGACAUAAGUAACGAUAAAGCGGGUGAAAAGCCCGCUCGCCGGAAGACCAAGGGUUCCUGUCCAACGUUAAUCGGGGCAGGGUGAGUCGACCCCUAAGGCGAGGCCGAAAGGCGUAGUCGAUGGGAAACAGGUUAAUAUUCCUGUACUUGGUGUUACUGCGAAGGGGGGACGGAGAAGGCUAUGUCAGCCGGGCGACGGUUGUCCCGGUUUAAGCGUGUAGGUGUGUGUUCCAGGCAAAUCCGGUUCACUUUAACACUGAGGCGUGAUGACGAGGCACUACGGUGCUGAAGUGAUAAAUGCCCUGCUUCCAGGAAAAGCCUCUAAGCAUCAGGUAACACGAAAUCGUACCCCAAACCGACACAGGUGGUCAGGUAGAGAAUACCAAGGCGCUUGAGAGAACUCGGGUGAAGGAACUAGGCAAAAUGGUGCCGUAACUUCGGGAGAAGGCACGCUGAUAUGUAGGUGAAGU